Molecule: ribosomal RNA, 497 nt
Filed under: uncultured bacterium
Lineage: Bacteria
Description: partial 16S ribosomal RNA
Rfam family: Bacterial small subunit ribosomal RNA
Source: RNAcentral
GACGAACGCUGGCGGCGUGCCUAAUACAUGCAAGUAGAACGCUGAAGAGAGGAGCUUGCUCUUCUUGGAUGAGUUGCGAACGGGUGAGUAACGCGUAGGUAACCUGCCUUGUAGCGGGGGAUAACUAUUGGAAACGAUAGCUAAUACCGCAUAACAAUGGAUGACACAUGUCAUUUAUUUGAAAGGGGCAAUUGCUCCACUACAAGAUGGACCUGCGUUGUAUUAGCUAGUAGGUGAGGUAAUGGCUCACCUAGGCGACGAUACAUAGCCGACCAGAGAGGGUGAUCGGCCACACUGGGACUGAGACACGGCCCAGACUCCUACGGGAGGCAGCAGUAGGGAAUCUUCGGCAAUGGGGGCAACCCUGACCGAGCAACGCCGCGUGAGUGAAGAAGGUUUUCGGAUCGUAAAGCUCUGUUGUAAGUCAAGAACGGGUGUGAGAGUGGAAAGUUCACACUGUGACGGUAGCUUACCAGAAAGGGACGGCUAACUACGUG